GCCAGCGUAGCUCAGCCGGUAGAGCAAUGCUUUCGUAAAGCAGAGGUCGUGGGUUCGAAUCCCACCGCUGGCU
The sequence is a transfer RNA, 73 nucleotides long. It matches the Rfam family "tRNA". From Rfam's summary of the family: Transfer RNA (tRNA) molecules are approximately 80 nucleotides in length. Their secondary structure includes four short double-helical elements and three loops (D, anti-codon, and T loops). Further hydrogen bonds mediate the characteristic L-shaped molecular structure. tRNAs have two regions of fundamental functional importance: the anti-codon, which is responsible for specific mRNA codon recognition, and the 3' end, to which the tRNAs corresponding amino acid is attached (by aminoacyl-tRNA synthetases). tRNAs cope with the degeneracy of the genetic code in two manners: having more than one tRNA (with a specific anti-codon) for a particular amino acid; and 'wobble' base-pairing, i.e. permitting non-standard base-pairing at the 3rd anti-codon position.